AGUGAACGCUGGCGGUGGGCCUAACACAUGCAAGUCGAACGGCAGCACAGUAAGAGUGUGCUUUUGAGGGUGGCGAGUGGCGGGUGGGUGAGGAGUAAAUCGGAAUCUACUUUUUCGUGGGGGAUUACGGAGGGCAACUUAUGCUACUAGAGCAUAUGUGCUACCGGUGAAAGCAGGGGAUCUUCGGAGUUUUGGUGAUUGUAUGAGACGGUGUCGGGUUAGCUAGUUGGCGGGGUAAAGGCCCACCAAGGCGACGAUCCGUAGCUGAUCUGAAAGGAUGAUCGGCCACACUGGAACUGAGACACGGUCCAGACUCCUACGGGAGGCAGCAGUGGGGAAUAUUGGACAAUGGGCGCAAGCCUGAUCCAGCCAUACCGCGUGGGUGAAGAAGGCUUUCGGGUUGUAAAGCCCUUUUAUUAGGAAAGAAAAGAUGCAGGUUAAAACCCCGCUGUUCUGACGGUACCCAAAGAAUAAGCACCGGCUAACUACGUG
Molecule: ribosomal RNA, 492 nt
Filed under: uncultured bacterium
Lineage: Bacteria
Description: partial 16S ribosomal RNA
Rfam family: Bacterial small subunit ribosomal RNA
Source: RNAcentral